Cynara cardunculus var. scolymus (artichoke) is the source of this 171-nucleotide long non-coding RNA. RefSeq lists it as uncharacterized. The transcript is spliced from 3 exons. The record is from RefSeq and is a predicted model, not a curated record. NCBI's taxonomy places the organism in Eukaryota, Viridiplantae, Streptophyta, Magnoliopsida, Asterales, Asteraceae.
CGCCGAUGGAAUCGAUUCAACCUUGCUUGUUUUUUUCAUCUAAUCGUCAAAUUAAGGUAGCACGGCGGAUAAGCAAGUUGGGCACCGGCGGGAUCUCAACUAAAUAGGCUAAGGAACUGGUUCAAGUGAUUGUGCUAGCAACAUUCUUGGUUAUUAUAAGGCUAGCAGGUA